GACCUCGGAUCAGACGUGAAUACCCGCUGAACUUAAGCAUAUCACUGA
RNAcentral lists this ribosomal RNA (48 nucleotides) under Transversotrema carmenae. RNAcentral's name for it is "partial 28S ribosomal RNA". The record is from RNAcentral. Lineage: Eukaryota; Metazoa; Platyhelminthes; Trematoda; Azygiida; Transversotrematidae.